GAUGAACGCUAGCGGGAGGCCUAACACAUGCAAGCCGAGCGGUAGAGAUUCUUCGGAAUCUUGAGAGCGGCGUACGGGUGCGGAACACGUGUGCAACCUGCCUUUAUCAGGGGGAUAGCCUUUCGAAAGGAAGAUUAAUACCCCAUAAUAUAUUGAAUGGCAUCAUUUGAUAUUGAAAACUCCGGUGGAUAGAGAUGGGCACGCGCAAGAUUAGAUAGUUGGUGAGGUAACGGCUCACCAAGUCUACGAUCUUUAGGGGGCCUGAGAGGGUGGGCCCCCAGACUGGUACGGGGACACGGACCAGACUCCGACGGGAGGCAGCAGUGAGGAAUAUUGGACAAUGGGUGCGAGCCUGAUCCAGCCAUCCCGCGUGAAGGACGACGGCCCUAUGGGUUGUAAACUUCUUUUGUAUAGGGAUAAACCUAGAUACGUGUAUCUAGCUGAAGGUACUAUACGAAUAAGCACCGGCUAACUCCGUGCCAGCCGCCGCCGUAA
Molecule: ribosomal RNA, 495 nt
Filed under: uncultured bacterium
Lineage: Bacteria
Description: partial 16S ribosomal RNA
Rfam family: Bacterial small subunit ribosomal RNA
Source: RNAcentral